CCGGCGGGCCAUCAUGCAAGUCGAGCGAAUGAUGAGGAGCUUGCUCCUCUGAUUUAGCGGCGGACGGGUGAGUAACACGUGGGUAAUCUGCCUGUAAGACGGGGAUAACUCCGGGAAACCGGGGCUAAUACCGGAUAAUAAGAGAAGAAGCAUUUCUUCUUUUUGAAAGUCGGUUUCGGCUGACACUUACAGAUGAGCCCGCGGCGCAUUAGCUAGUUGGUGAGGUAACGGCUCACCAAGGCGACGAUGCGUAGCCGACCUGAGAGGGUGAUCGGCCACACUGGGACUGAGACACGGCCCAGACUCCUACGGGAGGCAGCAGUAGGGAAUCUUCGGCAAUGGGCGAAAGCCUGACCGAGCAACGCCGCGUGAGCGAUGAAGGCCUUCGGGUCGUAAAGCUCUGUUGUUAGAGAAGAACAAGUACGAGAGUAACUGCUCGUACCUUGACGGUACCUAACCAGAAAGCCACGGCUAACUACGUGCCAGCAGCCGCGGUAAUACGUAGGUGGCAAGCGUUAUCCGGAAUUAUUGGGCGUAAAGCGCGCGCAGGCGGUCUCUUAAGUCUGAUGUGAAAGCCCACGGCUCAACCGUGGAGGGUCAUUGGAAACUGGGAGACUUGAGUGCAGGAGAGAAAAGUGGAAUUCCACGUGUAGCGGUGAAAUGCGUAGAGAUGUGGAGGAACACCAGUGGCGAAGGCGGCUUUUUGGCCUGUAACUGACGCUGAGGCGCGAAAGCGUGGGGAGCAAACAGGAUUAGAUACCCUGGUAGUCCACGCCGUAAACGAUGAGUGCUAGGUGUUGGGGGGUUCCACCCUCAGUGCUGAAGUUAACACAUUAAGCACUCCGCCUGGGGAGUACGACCGCAAGGUUGAAACUCAAAGGAAUUGACGGGGGCCCGCACAAGCAGUGGAGCAUGUGGUUUAAUUCGAAGCAACGCGAAGAACCUUACCAGGUCUUGACAUCCUUUGACCACUCUAGAGAUAGAGCUUUCCCCUUCGGGGGACAAG
Molecule: ribosomal RNA, 1006 nt
Filed under: Bacillus sp. (in: firmicutes)
Lineage: Bacteria; Bacillati; Bacillota; Bacilli; Caryophanales; Bacillaceae
Description: bacterial SSU rRNA
Rfam family: Bacterial small subunit ribosomal RNA
Source: RNAcentral